RNAcentral lists this long non-coding RNA (2743 nucleotides) under Aotus nancymaae (Ma's night monkey). Its description in RNAcentral is "lncRNA (ENSANAG00000039043.1)". The record is from RNAcentral. Lineage: Eukaryota; Metazoa; Chordata; Mammalia; Primates; Aotidae.
AUGGACCCUCUAGAGGCGUGUGCGUUCUGGUGCAGAUGCCCUGGGCAUCUAGGGGGCAGAGCCAAGCCUUCUUCUCAGGUGCCUGAGGUGCCCACAUGGGAGAUGCUGCUGUCCCUACAGGGAUACCUGGGGACUGUGGUCAGGGAGGAGCCAGCCUCCUCCUCCUCAGGACCGACUGGGGAAGCUGUUGCUUCAGGACCCCCGAGGCUGCCUGAGGAAAGGUUUGUUCGGGGUAGAUCGGGGAAAAAGAAGGGAGAAACCCUGAGAGCAGCACGGAGAGCCCCAGGGAGACACGCAUCCCACUACUUGCUUUUUUUGUGUUCCAGUGGCACGUUUUUCUUAGUGUCAAAGUACUUGAAAAAUACUGAAGAACAGAUAGAUGCUUUAAGCAUUUAAAAUAUACUCAGACGUCUCCUGACGAUGUGGAUACUUUCUGAGACAUUUGUCCUUAGCGGUUUCAUCUUUGUACAAAUACAGUAGAGUGUCCUUACGAAACCUAGAUCGUGUAGCCCACUCCACACGUAAGUUCUAUGGUAUAACCUAUUGCUCCCAGGCUGCACACCUGUAUAGGAUGUGUCUGUACUAAAUGCUGUAGUCAACUGUCACACCAUGGUGAUUGUGGAUUGUGAUCCCAAAAUACCUGAGACAGGUCUCAGUCAAUUUAGAAAACUUUUUUUGCCAAGGUUUAACCCAUGAUACCUCCUUAGGAGGUCCUGAUGACAUGUGCCCAAGGUGGUCAGGAAAGAGCCUGCUUUUAUACGUUUUAGGGAGACAUGAGACACCAAUCAAUAUUUGUAAGAUGUGUAGGUCCAGUAAGGCGGGAUGACUGGAAGCAGGAAGUGAGGGUGCUUCCAGGUCAGAAGUAGAUAAGAGACAAAAGGUUGCAUUUUUUUGAAUCCUUGAUCAGCCUUCCACUGAAUACACAAUUUAGUCUUGCUCAGUGAAUCUGCAUUUUUACAUAAACAAUAGUGCAGAGGAAUGGCACGAUCUCGGCCAACAACAACCUCCGCCUCCCGUGUUCAAGCAACUCUUCUGCUUCAGUCUCUUGAGCACCUGGGAUUACAUGCAUGCACCACUAUGCCGGGCCAGUUUUUGUACUUUUAGUAGAGAUGGGGUUUCUCCGUGUUGGUCAGGCUGGUCUCGACCUCCUGACCUCAGGUGAUCUUCCCUCCUCCGCCUCCCAAAGUGCUGAGAUUACAGGCAUGAGCCACUGUGCUUGACCAGGAAGCGUAUUUUGAUUCUGAUAUUGUCAACUGUAUUUCAGGCAUAACUUAUUUUCCUCAGAGCAUUAAAUACUGCUUUGGUAUUUUAUUACACAACUAAAGCACAGAUCCCUUUUUAUUAUCUUCAUUACUAGCUAUACUGGUAUCUAAAUUUAGAAACACUCCAGAGUCUGGGCUUCCAGUAAGUCUUUGUGAUCCUCUAAAAGGUAAAUUAUUUUUUCCAGCAAGACACAGUGACAUCUAAAGUUACAUUGAAUGUCUUGCCAGUGUUGUUUCUCUAGUUUCAUCAAUUUCUGCAAAGCAUCGUUGAGGGAGUAACUGACUAUCCCUUUAAACACCUCUGUAUUAAAAAGCAUCAUGAUGAAGCAUUGAAUGUGGUCACAAAAUCUGCUUGCAGUCUUCCUGUCUUUGAAUAUUUUUUCAAUUGACAAAUAUUUGCUUCUGUUGUAUUGUAAUUAGAAGGAAUCCUCUGCUAGGAAACAAAGACAAGCAUUCAUUAGAAUAAGUGAUCCAGUCACAGUGAAUCCAGUUGCUAUUUGAAUUUUUUUUUUUACAAAGUUAUACUUUUGAAAAUGUCCAGCUCUAAAUUGAAAUAGUCUCCUAAAGAGUGAACCACAGCACAAGAAAAGAUAUAUGAUAAAUAUGUUUACAUGUAUUUGUUAUUUUAACAUAAAACAUGUAAAAGAGGCAUUUCCUUGAAAUUAUAUAUUAAUUUGUAUAAUUUACUUUGCAGCAUCAUGAAUGCUUUUAUUUUAAAAAUGAGUAGUGUCAAUUACUGCUGAUUAUUAGUACAAAUAAUUUAGCAGAUAUUUGAGAAAAUAUACAACUUUUUAGUAAAGGGUUUAUUUUAAAUUAGUUUUAGAUUCACAAUGAAAUCUAAAAUGAGAAGAAAAUGUAGAUUUCCUAUCGCGACCCAACCUAGUUUCCCCUCAUAUUAACAUAUCAACAUGUAACAGAUAUGUUAUUAACAUCUUUUUUUUUUUUUUUUUGAGACGGAGUUUCGCUCUUGUUACCCAGGCUGGAGUGCAAUGGCGCGAUCUCGGCUCACCGCAACCUCCACCUCCUGGGUUCAGGCAAUUCUCCUGCCUCAGCCUCCUGAGUAGCUGGGAUUACAGGCACGCGCCACCGUGCCCAGCUAACAUCUUUUUGUUUUGAGAUGGUGUCUUGCUCUGUCACCCAGGUUGGAGUGCAAUGGCGGCACGAUCUUGGCUCAGUGCAACCUACACCUCCUGUGUUUAAGUGAUUUUCCUGCUUCAGGCUCCCAAGUAGCUGGGAUUACAGGCACCACCACCACGCUUGGCUAUUUUUUUGUAUUUUUAGUAGAGAUGGGAUUUCGCCAUGUUUGCCAGGCUGAUCUGAAAUUCCUGACCUCAGAUGAUUUAACCGUCUCAGCCUACCAAAGUUUUGGAAUGACAGGCAUGAGCCUCCAUGCCCAGCCUGCUAGCUGUGUAUUUGCUUUGGCUGGAUAUCUGUCGAGAUACUUACCCAGUUUUAAAAUCACUUAUGUAUUUUGUAAAUAU